Molecule: long non-coding RNA, 228 nt
Filed under: Fukomys damarensis (Damara mole-rat)
Lineage: Eukaryota; Metazoa; Chordata; Mammalia; Rodentia; Bathyergidae
Description: lncRNA (ENSFDAG00000025899.1)
Source: RNAcentral
GUUUCCUAGGAAAAAUGGCGUCUUGUUUUACACAUGCUUCUUGAUGAACGAUGGCUGAGGCCCCUCUGGAUUCUGGCUCAAUGGGCAAAUGGACGCAGAGUAAAACCUCACUACUCUGGCUACCCAAGGAAGUCUACUGCAAAGAGCCGCGCAUUCCAAGGGAGCUUUGGAUCAGAGAAGUCCCUUGAAGAGGUGGUGUGGAAGAGGCCGGCAAACACCCAGAGGCCC